Molecule: ribosomal RNA, 2625 nt
Filed under: Staphylococcus aureus
Lineage: Bacteria; Bacillati; Bacillota; Bacilli; Caryophanales; Staphylococcaceae
Description: bacterial LSU rRNA
Rfam family: Bacterial large subunit ribosomal RNA
Source: RNAcentral
UGUAGGACACUCUAUACGGAGUUACAAAGGACGACAUUAGACGAAUCAUCUGGAAAGAUGAAUCAAAGAAGGUAAUAAUCCUGUAGUCGAAAAUGUUGUCUCUCUUGAGUGGAUCCUGAGUACGACGGAGCACGUGAAAUUCCGUCGGAAUCUGGGAGGACCAUCUCCUAAGGCUAAAUACUCUCUAGUGACCGAUAGUGAACCAGUACCGUGAGGGAAAGGUGAAAAGCACCCCGGAAGGGGAGUGAAAUAGAACCUGAAACCGUGUGCUUACAAGUAGUCAGAGCCCGUUAAUGGGUGAUGGCGUGCCUUUUGUAGAAUGAACCGGCGAGUUACGAUUUGAUGCAAGGUUAAGCAGUAAAUGUGGAGCCGUAGCGAAAGCGAGUCUGAAUAGGGCGUUUAGUAUUUGGUCGUAGACCCGAAACCAGGUGAUCUACCCUUGGUCAGGUUGAAGUUCAGGUAACACUGAAUGGAGGACCGAACCGACUUACGUUGAAAAGUGAGCGGAUGAACUGAGGGUAGCGGAGAAAUUCCAAUCGAACCUGGAGAUAGCUGGUUCUCUCCGAAAUAGCUUUAGGGCUAGCCUCAAGUGAUGAUUAUUGGAGGUAGAGCACUGUUUGGACGAGGGGCCCCUCUCGGGUUACCGAAUUCAGACAAACUCCGAAUGCCAAUUAAUUUAACUUGGGAGUCAGAACAUGGGUGAUAAGGUCCGUGUUCGAAAGGGAAACAGCCCAGACCACCAGCUAAGGUCCCAAAAUAUAUGUUAAGUGGAAAAGGAUGUGGCGUUGCCCAGACAACUAGGAUGUUGGCUUAGAAGCAGCCAUCAUUUAAAGAGUGCGUAAUAGCUCACUAGUCGAGUGACACUGCGCCGAAAAUGUACCGGGGCUAAACAUAUUACCGAAGCUGUGGAUUGUCCUUUGGACAAUGGUAGGAGAGCGUUCUAAGGGCGUUGAAGCAUGAUCGUAAGGACAUGUGGAGCGCUUAGAAGUGAGAAUGCCGGUGUGAGUAGCGAAAGACGGGUGAGAAUCCCGUCCACCGAUUGACUAAGGUUUCCAGAGGAAGGCUCGUCCGCUCUGGGUUAGUCGGGUCCUAAGCUGAGGCCGACAGGCGUAGGCGAUGGAUAACAGGUUGAUAUUCCUGUACCACCUAUAAUCGUUUUAAUCGAUGGGGGGACGCAGUAGGAUAGGCGAAGCGUGCGAUUGGAUUGCACGUCUAAGCAGUAAGGCUGAGUAUUAGGCAAAUCCGGUACUCGUUAAGGCUGAGCUGUGAUGGGGAGAAGACAUUGUGUCUUCGAGUCGUUGAUUUCACACUGCCGAGAAAAGCCUCUAGAUAGAAAAUAGGUGCCCGUACCGCAAACCGACACAGGUAGUCAAGAUGAGAAUUCUAAGGUGAGCGAGCGAACUCUCGUUAAGGAACUCGGCAAAAUGACCCCGUAACUUCGGGAGAAGGGGUGCUCUUUAGGGUUAACGCCCAGAAGAGCCGCAGUGAAUAGGCCCAAGCGACUGUUUAUCAAAAACACAGGUCUCUGCUAAACCGUAAGGUGAUGUAUAGGGGCUGACGCCUGCCCGGUGCUGGAAGGUUAAGAGGAGUGGUUAGCUUCUGCGAAGCUACGAAUCGAAGCCCCAGUAAACGGCGGCCGUAACUAUAACGGUCCUAAGGUAGCGAAAUUCCUUGUCGGGUAAGUUCCGACCCGCACGAAAGGCGUAACGAUUUGGGCACUGUCUCAACGAGAGACUCGGUGAAAUCAUAGUACCUGUGAAGAUGCAGGUUACCCGCGACAGGACGGAAAGACCCCGUGGAGCUUUACUGUAGCCUGAUAUUGAAAUUCGGCACAGCUUGUACAGGAUAGGUAGGAGCCUUUGAAACGUGAGCGCUAGCUUACGUGGAGGCGCUGGUGGGAUACUACCCUAGCUGUGUUGGCUUUCUAACCCGCACCACUUAUCGUGGUGGGAGACAGUGUCAGGCGGGCAGUUUGACUGGGGCGGUCGCCUCCUAAAAGGUAACGGAGGCGCUCAAAGGUUCCCUCAGAAUGGUUGGAAAUCAUUCAUAGAGUGUAAAGGCAUAAGGGAGCUUGACUGCGAGACCUACAAGUCGAGCAGGGUCGAAAGACGGACUUAGUGAUCCGGUGGUUCCGCAUGGAAGGGCCAUCGCUCAACGGAUAAAAGCUACCCCGGGGAUAACAGGCUUAUCUCCCCCAAGAGUUCACAUCGACGGGGAGGUUUGGCACCUCGAUGUCGGCUCAUCGCAUCCUGGGGCUGUAGUCGGUCCCAAGGGUUGGGCUGUUCGCCCAUUAAAGCGGUACGCGAGCUGGGUUCAGAACGUCGUGAGACAGUUCGGUCCCUAUCCGUCGUGGGCGUAGGAAAUUUGAGAGGAGCUGUCCUUAGUACGAGAGGACCGGGAUGGACAUACCUCUGGUGUACCAGUUGUCGUGCCAACGGCAUAGCUGGGUAGCUAUGUGUGGACGGGAUAAGUGCUGAAAGCAUCUAAGCAUGAAGCCCCCCUCAAGAUGAGAUUUCCCAACUUCGGUUAUAAGAUCCCUCAAAGAUGAUGAGGUUAAUAGGUUCGAGGUGGAAGCAUGGUGACAUGUGGAGCUGACGAAUACUAAUCGAUCGAAGACUUAAUCAA